CCUACGGGUGGCAGCAGUGAGGAAUAUUGGUCAAUGGGCGUAAGCCUGAACCAGCCAUGUCGCGUGAGGGAUGAAGGCUCUAUGGAUCGUAAACCUCUUUUAUAAGGGAAUAAAGUGUGGGACGUGUCCUUUUUUGUAUGUACCUUAUGAAUAAGGAUCGGCUAACUCCGUGCCAGCAGCCGCGGUAAUACGGAGGAUCCGAGCGUUAUCCGGAUUUAUUGGGUUUAAAGGGUGCGUAGGUGGGUUGUUAAGUCAGCGGUGAAAGUUUGUGGCUCAACCAUAAAAUUGCCGUUGAUACUGGCAGGCUUGAGUAUGGUUGAGGCAGGCGGAAUGCGUGGUGUAGCGGUGAAAUGCUUAGAUAUCACGCAGAACUCCGAUUGCGAAGGCAGCCUGCUAAGCUACCACUGACGUUGAUGCACGAAAGUGUGGGUAUCAAACAGGAUUAGAUACCCGGGUAGUC
RNAcentral lists this ribosomal RNA (460 nucleotides) under uncultured bacterium. Its description in RNAcentral is "partial 16S ribosomal RNA". It matches the Rfam family "Bacterial small subunit ribosomal RNA", at positions 338 to 795 of the family's 1533-position model. The record is from RNAcentral.